RNAcentral lists this ribosomal RNA (481 nucleotides) under Acinetobacter baumannii. RNAcentral describes it as "bacterial SSU rRNA". It matches the Rfam family "Bacterial small subunit ribosomal RNA", at positions 27 to 523 of the family's 1533-position model. The record is from RNAcentral. Lineage: Bacteria; Pseudomonadati; Pseudomonadota; Gammaproteobacteria; Moraxellales; Moraxellaceae.
GAUUGAACGCUGGCGGGACUGCUUNACACAUGCAAGUCGAGCGGCAGGACGGUACUUUGCUCCGGGGCCUAGUGGCGNACGGGUGAGUAAUGUUUGGAACUGCCAUUAGCGGGGGAAACAUCNCGAAAGGGAUGCUAAUACCGCAUACGCCCUACGGGGAGAAAGCAGGGGAUCUUCGGACCUUUGCACCNUUGAGAUCNGCCNAUGUCGGAUUAGCUAGUUGGUGGGGUAACGGCCCACCAAGGCGACGAUCUGUAGCUGGUUUGAGAGGAUGACAGCCACACUGGGACUGAGACACGGCCCAGACUCCUACGGGAGGCAGCAGUGGGGAAUUUUGGACAAUGGGGGAAACCCUGAUCCAGCCAUCCCCGCGUGUGUAUGAAGGCUUCUGGUUGUAAAGCACUUUAGGCAAGAAGGAGCUCUUAGUUAUACCUACGAUAUUGCCUUCUCCCAAAAACCCCGAUUCUUCAAACCGGGGGAA